RNAcentral lists this long non-coding RNA (366 nucleotides) under Ailuropoda melanoleuca (giant panda). RNAcentral describes it as "lncRNA (ENSAMEG00000024361.1)". Lineage: Eukaryota; Metazoa; Chordata; Mammalia; Carnivora; Ursidae. The record is from RNAcentral.
UUUUUUUUUUAAGAUUUAUUUAUUUAUUUAUUUAUUUGACAGAGAGAGAGACAGCCAGCGAGAGAGGGAACACAAGCAGGGGGAGUGGGAGAGGAAGAAGCAGCCUCCCAGCAGAGAAGCCUGAUAUGGGGCUCGAUCCCAGAAUGCUGGGAUCACGCCCUGAGCCGAAGGCAGACGCUUAACGACUGUGCCAUCCAGGCACCCCUGCAUGGUUUUUUUCUAAUAUUGUCCUCACUGAAAAAAGGCAACCAGCGAUAUACAGCAGAGCUGGAAAAUCCCAGGUGGUUUAUGGUUAAUGACAAAGGAGCAUCAGCAGCACUGAGUAAUGAGAACCGAGAGGGGGUGACAUGCCAAGCAGCCACGUAG